Molecule: long non-coding RNA, 421 nt
Organism: Octopus sinensis (East Asian common octopus)
Lineage: Eukaryota; Metazoa; Mollusca; Cephalopoda; Octopoda; Octopodidae
Exons: 2
Source: RefSeq, a predicted model, not a curated record
UAUAUAUAUAUAUAUAUAUAUAUAUAUAUAUAUGUUGAGAAUCCACGAGUUAGAAAAAAUAUGCACUUGUACAUUUGUCAGUAGAGUGGUUGUGUUAAUCAGAGUAUACAGUAUUAUAACUUCAUUACAAUUGAUCUUACCAUUUGGUUUUGCACUGUGAAUAAAAACUGGAUAUUAGAUAACAGCACAGUUAAGUAAUACUACAAGCUCAUCAGAGCUGGCAGGUAAAAAAAAAAAAAGAAGAAAAAAAGAGAGAGCAGUCACCAUAUUCGUUUUUUCAAUACCUGCCAUCUCUGAAAAGCACACAGUAUUACUUAUCCAUGCAGUCAUCUAACAUCUGGUUUUAAUAUCCAGUAUGAAACUGUUUGAAAAAAAAUGGCUGUAAAGGAUCUCUGAUACUGUAUACUUUCAUUAAUACACA